CAGUACCGGUAAUACGAAGGGGGCUAGCGUUGUUCGGAAUUACUGGGCGUAAAGCGCACGUAGGCGGAUAUUUAAGUCAGGGGUGAAAUCCCGCAGCUCAACUGCGGAACUGCCUUUGAUACUGGGUAUCUUGAGUAUGGAAGAGGUUAGUGGAAUUGCGAGUGUAGAGGUGAAAUUCGUAGAUAUUCGCAGGAACACCAGUGGCGAAGGCGGCUAACUGGUCCAUAACUGACGCUGAGGUGCGAAAGCGUGGGGAGCAAACAGGAUUAGAUACCCGUGUAGUCCCUGUCUCUUAUACACA
RNAcentral lists this ribosomal RNA (301 nucleotides) under uncultured bacterium. RNAcentral describes it as "partial 16S ribosomal RNA". It matches the Rfam family "Bacterial small subunit ribosomal RNA", at positions 512 to 810 of the family's 1533-position model. The record is from RNAcentral.